Molecule: unclassified non-coding RNA, 7090 nt
Filed under: Chelonus insularis
Lineage: Eukaryota; Metazoa; Arthropoda; Insecta; Hymenoptera; Braconidae
Description: uncharacterized LOC118070863, transcript variant X9
Source: RNAcentral
CUCUCAGGCUUACAAUUUUAGCCAAAUGAAAUGUAGUGAAAGGAAAAUUGUGACGUGCACAUAGCCCACAUCUCGCUCCACCCCUCCUCUAAAUAUGUCCUCUUUCAUAUAAACGUUUUUUAAAUAUUUAUACGGGAGUGAUUGGCCUAGAAAUAAAAACACCCUUGAUUCGUGUUUUUGUGAUUUGAAAAUUAAUUGAGUUUUAUUAGAUUUGCUUCUGGUACAAUACAAUAACGUGUUGGAAGACAUAGUUAUGUAGACACGGAGCACGAUUACUAAGUUACAAUUAAAUAUUGAAAGUUAAAAUACUUCUAAAGUGAUAUCAUGAAUAAUCCAUAUCGUGCCAGAUCAGGUAAACUGCGAGCAGAUCAUACUGCUUCGGUUGGAGUGUCAAAAUAUGGUUUACAAAAUCAAAACUCUUGGCCUGCUAUGCCCCCCAAUAUGCAACCAAUCAAUCCAUAUCCAUCUCAAUCAGCCGUAAAUCAAACAAAUAAUGCUGGCGAUCCCUGGGAUUGGGGUUCUGAAAAUAUUGACAAUGGUAACGACGCUUGGAAUUGGAGUAUUGAUCAGUCAGCUGAGACACAAUCUCAACUACUUCAGCAACAACCACAACAACAACAAUUGAUUUCUACUUAUCCGAAUUUGAGGCCAAAUCAACAGAAUUCAACUCAUGAUAAUUUUUAUACUAAUAUUAAUGGCAAUAACCAAACUAUUCCUCUAACUCCAAAUCAAUUAUCAGGUAGAAAUACACCACGAACUGGUCCAAGUAAGGAAUCAACUCCAAGCCAACCUGAUUCAUUCAAUCAGUAUUCGAAUUAUAAUUUAAAUCAACAACCACCAAGAACUGAUUCUGUCAAAAGUUGUUCGAUUACAAAUGAAAAUCAAAAUCUUCAACACAUAAAUUGUUAUUUCCCCCCAGUUUCAUCGCCAUUUGAUUUAACUAAUCAAACUGUUAGUACCCAAAAAUUUUCUUUAAAUAAUAACAAUUCAAAUAGUGCCAACCAGUCAAAUAUUCCAGCACAAAAUUGGCAAAUUCCAACACCGAAUACUUCGACUUAUUGGACAGAUCCUAAUUCUAAAAAGGAAAAUGUUUCUAUGAUUGAUACUCAAUGGGCACAAGUACAACAUCAACCAUCCCAAUUCUAUAAACAGCAACAAUUAAAUCACCAGUCACCGCCUCAGUUAACUGAAUUAUUACAACACCAACUAUUAAACCAACAUCCACAACAGCAGCAAUCAUCAGUAAAACAGCCAUCGCAUCAGCAGCAAUUAAAACGAAUAUCUCCUCCACCGCAGUUGCAUCAACUACAUAUAAAAUCAUCACAGAUUUCAAAUGUACCACAAAACUGCCAUGGAAAUCUUGAAACUAAUCAAUUAAAAGAGCCAAGUCAAGAAAUCGUUUUAUCAAAUAAACGAUAUGAAGGCAAUCAUGGAAAUGAAAUUGUUGAUCAGCGAAGUCAACAAAAUAAUUAUUCUCAGUUAGAGAAUUCUAAUAUUAGUUCGAAUCAAUUACGGCAACAUGCAUCCCUUUAUCCAACUCAUACGUGGCAAGAAAAAAAUUCUGAGUUAAACAAUAAAUUGAAAGACGUCAGUUUAGACAGUUUUUCUGAAGAAAAUAAACAUCUUCAAAAAGAUUGGCAAUCGAUUGGAUCUUCAUCAAUCAAUUUGGCUUCUUCAACUGGGGAAAUAGUAACUGCAGACAAAAAGUUAGAAGACUCACUACUUGAAGAGCAGAUUUCGGUAUUUUCUGAAUCGGAAAAUCACUCUGAUAAAUCUACACUCAUACCUGAGAUUAAAAGUAAUCUUAUGGAAUUGCAGCGUUCAGAAAAUAGAUCAAGCGACAUUGAACUUUUUAACGUUAAAGAAAAUACUAAUUCUAGCUGGAAUGCAGAAAAAGAUACGAAUUCAUUGAGUGAUUUAACUACAGGCGUAAAUCAAUUGAAUUUAGCUAGAAAACCUCACAACCUAUUUGAUGAUUUAAAAUCAUCAUUUCCACCACAAUCGUCUUCUCAAAUAAUAGAUCCGUGGCCUUCUCAAUCUACUAUAUCUCAUCCAAUUAUUCAUAAACCUCAAGAAAAAUUGACUGUUUCAAAUCAAUGUGUUGCUCAAUCUACAAUAAAUUCACAAGAACAUAUAACAACCACACCAUUUUCUGCUGCUCAAGAAUCUAAAAUUAAUCUUUCACAAGAGCAUACAAGUUUAACUCAGAUUGGUGUUCAACCACAUCUUCGUCAACAAGAAUAUUCUAAUAUUUAUAAUUGUCCUCUGGUACCAUCUUCUCUUCAUUCUCAUGAGUUUUCUACUCACAUUUCUAGUUCCAUAGUACAUCCGAAUGUCCAACAGUCACAUUCAUCGCAUUUUGAAUCUAUAGAAACUGUUUCCUUACAACCAAAUCCCAAAACUUCAGCUGAAAAUUUUCAUGCAUCUCUUGAAUCAAAAUCUAAUGAAGAGUCUAUGUCAUCAUCGAACUCCAUAGAAAUUUCUAACUCACAAGCAACUGAGGUUAUUUCUUCAACGAGUUAUGAUACUUGGUACAAUAAAACAACUACGCAUACUGCUGAUUUUAUUAAUGUUGAUACAUCAUCAUCCAAUUCUCAUGAUCAGAUUCCUGUUACUGAAUCAUCUAUAGAAGAUACUAAAGUUCCUACACCAUCUAAAGAAAUUUAUGAACCACUGCAACAAUCUCUCCAAUCUGACAUACAUUCUGAAAAUUAUGAGUUCGCUUCUAAUGAUAGAAAUACAUUUCUUGAAACUGGAGAGUUAACAGACUCUCAUCAUGAUCAAGAGUCUAUUAUAUUUCAGGAUGAUGAAAAUGAUGAAGUUCCAAGCGAUAUUCCGUUCAUACGAGAAGUGCCUGGACAAUCUAGUUCAAUAGAUCCUCGAAGAAAUCCGACUGGUCAAGAAGAAUAUUUACAAUUACAAUCUAAUUCUCGUUUAGUAGAUCCACGAAGAAACGACCUUUCUACUCAAAUUCAAGGAUUUAAUAUCAGAAAAUUGCCUUUAGAACGUUCUGAACGUCGAGAUGUUCCAUCAGGUCAAGAAAGACAAGGCAGUGGACUAUCUCCUCAAGAUACUGAAUCUUUAGAACGUAGAAAUGAUCCCUCUGGUAGAGAACAAUCUCUUCCACCUUCACAAUCAAGAAAUGACCCUUCCGGGGAAGAAAGAGCUAUUAAUGAUUCUCAAAUUAUUUUAGAACCAACAGAAAUAAGAGAAAUCCCUGGAAGUAGAGUUGAUUCUACUGAACUAACUUCUACUGUUGAUGAAAUACGACAAAUAACUGGUGGAAUUUCAACACUUGAACCACUAACUGUUUCAGACAAUAAUGCAAGAGUAGUACCUGGAUCUCAGGAAACAUUAGUUUCUGCAAAACAAGAUAUAUCAAAUGAAACAAGAAAUAAACGAGAAGAAGCUGUCGGUGCUCCAAUAAGAGAAGAUGUAACUUUAGUGUCAAGUUCUCCUAAACGUAGAGACUCUUAUGAAGAUGGAGAUGACGAAGAAUCUGGGAAUAGUCGUGAUGAUAAUCGAGAUAGACGUAGGGAUCAAAGCCCUACUGAUAGACGUCGAUUUGAUUACGAUAGAAAAGGAGAUAGAAACUAUUAUGAUCGUGAUCGUAAAUACGAUGAUGAUUAUUAUUACGAACGACGACGGGGUCAUGAUUAUGAUCGAUCAUACACUUCAAGAGAGGAUUUGGACCGACGUGAAACAUCAUUUAGAGAUGGAGAUAGAAGAUUGCCUAAUAGGGAUGAUUUAGAUGAUCGAAGAAGAAUAAAAGAUGAUGAUGAAAGGGAUGGAAGAAGGAGAGAAGAUCGAAGAGGACAUUGGAAUGAUUCUAGAUCUCGUGAACAUAGAGAUUAUGAUGCUAGAUUUUCAAGAGAUGUUCGAGACAGAGAACAUUUAGAUCGUGAUCGUAGACGAGACGGCAGGCGACGUUGGUAUGAUGAAUACGAUCCUCGAGAUCUUCGUCGUGAUUAUUUUGAUGAUCCUUACACCAAAGGUUCAAGACCUUCAAGCAGAUCAUCUUACAACGAUCGAGAUAGAGAUUAUUACAUGAGAGUUAGAGAUCCUUAUUAUGGAUAUAAUCCAGAUGUUUAUGGUUCUUAUGAUUAUGGGGCUAAUUACUAUGCGUAUUUAGAGAAUUUGCGGCGAACUAAUCCUACUGCUUACAUGGAAUGGUAUAAUAAAUAUUACGCUGCUCAACAACAACAUCCUGUAGUACGGGGAGUUUCGACUUAUCCUGAAGAUCGGGCUAGCGUUCAUUCUGGACGAAGCUCCUGCGAAGACAGGACAACAAGUGGAAAACAAACAAUAGGAGACAUAUCUCUUUUAGAAGACGCAAAAGCAGUCUCCCGAUUAACUCCAACAAAAUUUUCUACAUCUCAUGUUCAGGGAUCUUUUUCAAUUGGUUCAUUAGUACACGUUCAUCCCAGUUAUCCUGCAGAAGGUGAACGAGCUAGAGUAGAUAUUGUGCGACUGGAUAGUCUUCUUAUGCAUGAUCCUAUUGCAAGAGAAUUGCGGGCGUAUCCAGGACCAUUAAUCAAGGGUGUAACACAUAAGAAAACGAUUAUUGAAUAUUGUGAAGCGAAAAUUAAAAAAGCUUCAACAAACGAUGACCUCAUUGAUCGUGCAUCGUAUAUUCUAUUGUAUCAGUUAAUGAUCAUGCUUAUUCAACAGAAUGGAAAUGUUGUAGGAGUAGAUAUUGCUACUCUAUUACUUCAAAAUAAGGAAGCUUAUCCUCAUGAAGUCAAUGGAAAUAAAAAUGAAUCUAUGAGACGUGAAUCAACAAUAUCUCAAAGAUCUGGGGGAAAAGAAGGUUCAGUUCAUGAAGAUGCUCCUCAGGAGAUUGAAAAUACAAAACAACAAAAAACAAUUGAACAAAUGACAAAUGAAUUUAGAAACACUUUAAUUUAUGGUUUAGUUCAAGAGGCGCUUGAAUAUGCAAUGAAUGAAGGUCUUUGGGGUCAUGCAUUAUUCCUUGCUAGUAAAUUAGAUAAAAGAACGCAUGCAUCAGUUAUGACACGAUUCGCCAACAGUUUACCUGCUCAAGAUCCUCUUCAAACUUUGUAUCAACUUCAUUCGGGUCGCGUACCGGCAAGUGUAACUUGUGUAUCGGAUCCCAAAUGGGAUGAUUGGCGUCCACAUUUAGCAAUGAUUAUUUCUAACACCUCAGCAAAUCCUGAAAUUAAUCGUCGAGCAAUCACGACCCUUGGAGAUACAUUGGUUGCUCGGGGCGAUAUUUAUGCAGCUCACUUCUGUUACAUUCUUGCUCAAAUUGAAUUUGGAACUUAUGGAUCUUCAGGAGUUAAACUUGUCUUGAUUGGUGCUAAUCAUCAUAAGCUUUAUAGAGAUUUCGCAACUUUUGAAGCAAUUAUGUUAACAGAAAUUUAUGAAUAUGCUAGAAAUCUUAGUGAAUCAGAAUUUACAUUAGUAGGAUUACAAAUUUUCAAACUAGAAACUGCUCAACGAAUGGUAGAUUAUGGACUGAUUGAGAAAGCACUAUUGUAUCUUGAACAAAUUGCUGUAAAUAUUGUAAAGGAACCACCAAAGUACAAACAGUCGUUUGUUAAUGAUGUCUAUACCUUGAGUGAACGAAUUAAAUUUCACGAUCCUGUUUUCAAAGAUUGUAUAGAGGAUGAAACAACUUUAGCUUGGUUGUACAAUUUAAAAGAGAUUGUUCACCGAUGUCAAGCAGGUGAUAUUAUUCAAAAUGUUAAUAAUACAUGCGUAAAUUCACAAAAUAAUUUACCAGACACAUCUCAACGUGAAAUUCAGCCACCAUCGCAAAUUCAACAGCAACAACAACCACAGCAACAGCAAUGGAAUUAUACAGCAACCCAAGACUAUGGGAAUGCACCAAGUUCUAUGAUGGAAAUUCCAACAAUAGAUCCAUCUCAGGAUCAAUGGCAACCAAUGUCACUUCAAACGACAAUCCAAGAUACAUACAGUAAUGAUCAAAAUACUCAAUAUACACAGAAUAUUAAUGUUAAUCAAUAUCAUCAACAACAACCACAAGAUUAUUGGGGUCAACAAGUGUAUAAUCAACAAGAUUAUGCUAAAGAUUAUUCUACUAGUGAUUGGCAACAACAACAAUCAAAUCAAGUUUAUCCUCAAGAACAAAAUGAUGUCGACUCUGCUCAACAAUCAGGAGGAUGGAACUACGAGUCGGAAAAGGAAGAAAAGCUAGUAACACCUGAACCAAAGCCACAAAUUUCUAUGGGAUCAUCUACGGGCAAACAGUACGACCCUUUAGAAGAAUUAGAUGCUUUGGAGUCACCGUCUGAAGUAUCUAAAUCUACUAUUGAAACAAAAAAACCUCAAGACAAACAACCAGAAAAGAAAGCGUCGAAUUCAGGAGGAUCAUGGUUUGGCGGACUUUUUAGCAAAUUAACACCAAAACCGAGGAAUCAGAUGAUUUUGCCAGAUGAUGAUAAUCCUACAAUUAUUUGGGAUCCGAUAGCAAAAAAAUGGGUAAAUAAAGAUGAUGAUGGAGAUAGUGCAUCAUUACGUUUAGCACCACCACCAAAAAUGUCAGAGCUUAAUUUGAAAACUUCGAUAACAACUGAACAAAAUCUGUCAACACAAGAAUCGACAGUACGACCUCCCAGUACAGAUUCAAAAACUCCUAAUUCUUCAAAAAUGAUUGCCGGUAGCAGCAAUAUGUUUAAAUUACAAAAAGGAAGAAAUAUGAGAGCUAAUUACAUUGAUGUCAUGAAUCCUGGUGGAGUAAAAAGUAAUGGACCUCCGUCAGCUAUUCCGACACCUGCAGCGUCGCCAUUAAUGCAACCCAUGGCUGCAUCUUCACCACAAUUAUUUGUUCCUGCACCAGUAAACGAUCCUAAUGCUCCAGUAGAUUUUUUAACUACUUUACAAACAACAAGACCUUCAGGUGAUACGACGACGUCUCAAGGAUCGGGGAACCAGAAUGAUGUAGCCAAAUAACAAUUAUUAUCAAUACUCUCUCGGUGGAGCUCAGCUAGUUCACUAUCACGCGAGGUACAGAGCUACACCAUGAGGGAUCCGCGUCUUCAUCAACGGAUCAAGGGACCAAUGAUGUACAAUCCAGCAGAAGUGAAAGAAAAUCCCAUGAAAAACG